RNAcentral lists this ribosomal RNA (549 nucleotides) under uncultured bacterium. RNAcentral's name for it is "partial 16S ribosomal RNA". It matches the Rfam family "Bacterial small subunit ribosomal RNA", at positions 355 to 895 of the family's 1533-position model. The record is from RNAcentral.
UGGGGAAUUUUGGACAAUGGGCGAAAGCCUGAUCCAGCAAUGCCGCGUGUGUGAAGAAGGCCUUCGGGUUGUAAAGCACUUUUGUCCGGAAAGAAAUCCUUGGCUCUAAUACAGUCGGGGGAUGACGGUACCGGAAGAAUAAGCACCGGCUAACUACGUGCCAGCAGCCGCGGUAAUACGUAGGGUGCAAGCGUUAAUCGGAAUUACUGGGCGUAAAGCGUGCGCAGGCGGUUUGCUAAGACCGAUGUGAAAUCCCCGGGCUCAACCUGGGAACUGCAUUGGUGACUGGCAGGCCAGAGUAUGGCAGAGGGGGGUAGAAUUCCACGUGUAGCAGUGAAAUGCGUAGAGAUGUGGAGGAAUACCGAUGGCGAAGGCAGCCCCCUGGGCCAAUACUGACGCUCAUGCACGAAAGCGUGGGGAGCAAACAGGAUUAGAUACCCUGGUAGUCCACGCCCUAAACGAUGUCAACUAGUUGUUGGGGACUUCAUUUUCCUUAGUAACGUAGCUAACGCGUGAAGUUGACCGCCUGGGGAGCACGGUCGCAAGAUU